Microplitis mediator is the source of this 2849-nucleotide RNA transcript. It is a transcript of the gene named palmitoyltransferase app, with no coding region annotated. NCBI's taxonomy places the organism in Eukaryota, Metazoa, Arthropoda, Insecta, Hymenoptera, Braconidae. The record is from RefSeq and is a predicted model, not a curated record. The transcript is spliced from 10 exons.
AUUAUUUAGCACACUAAACCAUGACACUCGCACACACAUGUUGAAUUCCAAGAUCAUCAGUCGUAAAUACACGUCAGGUAUUGUCAUAAAUACUGAAUGGUGUUAUUAAAGAGACAGAAAAAAGAUUAAUUUAUUUUUUUUUCUUCAUCACUUUAAGUUGUGAGAGAGAUAUAAUAGCUUACAAUUAAAUACAUUGUGUGGUAAUGUCAAAAGUUUUUGUCUGGUCAGUUCGAAUGACACAAGUUUUAUUUUUUGAAUUUUUGAAUUAUUAAUUUAACAAUGAUAAUAAAAAAUAUAAUAAAUAAUUAGUCUAAAGUUUUAAUUUCCCAUGGAUUUUAUUAAUUUCAUACGUGCCAAAAAAAAAAAUGAUUUCGGAGUGAGUGCUCUUGAUGAUAUCAACGGCCUCCAGCAAGGUGAAGAAGAUGGUGUACAGAACAUUCCUUUGCAGGCUUGUGGUUAGAUAAAAUAAUCUUUUGAUGUACAAAAUAAAAAAUAACAAAUAAAUCACGAUGCCACAUGUUACAAGAAAAUGGGAAUUAUUCCCAGGACGAAAUAAAUUCUGCUGUGAUGGUAGAGUCAUGAUGGCACCACAAACUGGUGUAUUUUACUUAACUUUGUGCCUCAUUAAUUUAACGAGUGCUGUAUUUUUUAUUUUUGAUUGUCCAUACUUGGCGCUCCACAUAACUCCUGCAAUACCAGUGAUAGGUGGAUUACUUUUUAUGUUUGUAAUGUCAGCAUUAUUACGAACAAGUUUUAGUGACCCUGGUGUUAUACCUAGGGCGACACCUGAUGAGGCUGCAUAUAUUGAAAAACAAAUAGAAGUUCCUAACAAUGGUAACUCUCCAACGUAUCGACCGCCUCCACGUACAAAAGAAAUUUUGGUGAAGGGCCAGCCAGUUAAAUUAAAAUAUUGUUUUACUUGUAAAAUAUUUCGACCUCCAAGAGCGUCUCAUUGUAGUCUAUGUGACAACUGUGUUGAGGGAUUUGAUCAUCAUUGUCCAUGGGUUGGCAAUUGUGUAGGUCGAAGAAAUUAUAGAUAUUUUUAUGCAUUCAUUGUAUCCUUAGCCUUCCUAUGUGUUUUCCUUUUUGCUUGUGCAACAACACAUCUCAUUAUGCUUACGAGAGAUGAUAGACCAUUUUUAGAUGCUAUUAAAAAUUCACCAGGAAGUCUUUUCGUUGGUACUAUUUGCUUUUUUUCCGUUUGGAGUAUUUUAGGUCUUGCUGGAUUUCAUACUUACCUUACAAGCAGCAAUCAAACGACAAACGAAGACAUAAAAGGCUCAUUUUCAAGUAAAAGAGAACAAGAAAGUUUUAAUCCAUAUAGUCAUGGAAAUAUUUGUGGUAAUUGUUUUUACGUACUCUGUGGACCAGCUCCACCAAGCCUUAUCGAUCGACGAGGAAUUGUCACGCCCGGAUACAGAGCUGAACGUGAACGAACUGGUGAUGAUUAUGUAAUUGCCAAUAACAAAGCUUAUGGUACAGUUAAAAUUACGCAGCCACAAGCUAAUGGUCACAAUAUUCCAUCACAUGUAGAUAAUGAUUUGACUGGUUCAAUGAAUAAUCUUGUCUCAGGUCAACGUUCACCGCGCAUUGAAUCAUUAAACGGUGAGUUAACACUUAUGAACCAGUUACCACGUUGUCCCGUUGAAUUACCCAAGUAUCGUCAGUACACAAAUGAAGUAUACAUUCAAAAAUAUUCAACGCCGCGACGUUGUGCUCAAGAUCGCGUACAACCUGGUGAUGCUUAUGCUGCCGAAAUUGAACGUCUUAAUGCAGAAGUUCAAAAAUUUAAUUAUAAAUGUGAGGAAACUUUACAGAGAUAUCCACAAAGAUGCCGUGAAGAGUAUCAACGUUGUUCUGAAAAUAAUUUAAUACACAAUCAACAACAGUAUACUGUUGAACAAAAAUACGCGAUUGAUCUUAAAAAAUAUCGACGUGGAUACUCGGAAGAUUAUUUAAGAUAUGGUGGUAUUGAUGAUGAUGAUGAUAAUUACAGAAAAUCAAUUGAUUUACAAAAAUUUCCUCAACGUUAUUCUGAAGAUCCAUCACGACAAUAUCACUCACCACAAACUUUUAAAUACAAUAAUCUUAGAUGUAAUCAACAUGGCUUUAAAUAUCCAAUUACUAAGAAUAUUUUACCAAAUAGAAUAUUAGGCUCUGGUAAUAUUCCUAUGAUUGGUCAAAAUGCAAUUGGUCUAGUAGUUAAUAGAUUUGGUUCAGCGCCUUUAAAUUAUGAUAUGGCUUUUAUGGAUAAUAAUUCUAUUUGCCCAGGGAAAAAUGCCGAGGAUAAUUUAAUGAAUAGUCAUUUUAUUGUCAGCCCCCUAAAUGAUAACGAUUGACAAUGACUACUCACUACUCCGAGGCAUAUUAGCACUCACGUCCCUCGUUUUUCAUCGAGAAAUCGCAUUUUUCAUAACACCAAUGACAUUAAAUAAGUAAUUAAACUUAUUAAAAAAGAAAACAAUUACAUACAUACAUAUUUAUAUGAUAUGUAUAAACGUUUUAAGAGAUUAAUAUAUUCAAAAACUUCCAAGAGAUUUAAAAAAAUUAACAUAUUUAAACUAAAUAUAAUAGCUAUUAUUUUAACAAUAGUUUAGUAUCUUUAUAGAUAAACAUACACGCAAACUUUUAAUGCUAUAUAAAUCAAUAAAACGUGUUUCUUUGUUUAUAAUUACGACCUAUUAUCGAGGGCUCAAGUCCGUGAUUUUUGGUAGUACGACAAAUAGCGUAAGCCACCUCGUAUCCAACGAAAUGCCAUUGGCUUCAUUGAAUAUAACGCCAAUAGACAUUGAUGAGAUAGCACCAUUACCACCGAAACAGAGUGUAAUUAUUCCACCUGUAUUAGAUAC